Long non-coding RNA from Arabidopsis thaliana (thale cress), 236 nucleotides. RefSeq annotates it as other RNA. NCBI's taxonomy places the organism in Eukaryota, Viridiplantae, Streptophyta, Magnoliopsida, Brassicales, Brassicaceae. The record is from RefSeq. The transcript has a single exon.
UUGUGGAACGCGUUAGGCGCGUUACUAUAUAUGGUUGGUCAUUAUUUCAUUUGAACUAUCAGAUCAGUUUAAUUUCUAACGUUGUUAUACUAUCGUUAUUUAAAUGAAAGAACCGAAUACAAGAAAAGAAAAGCUUCUGUAUCGUCUUGCUACUCUUGGGAGGUCGGCGACCCAACUUGUUAGUAGUUCGUUCGUAAUCCUUUGCUUUUUGGACUCUUCCACUUAUGGGUCGGCCA